This 78-nucleotide transfer RNA is filed under the name Schistosoma japonicum. RNAcentral's name for it is "tRNA-Trp". The record is from RNAcentral. Lineage: Eukaryota; Metazoa; Platyhelminthes; Trematoda; Strigeidida; Schistosomatidae.
GGAGUGGUGGCUGAGUGGUUAGGGUUUUAGAAUUCCAGCUACUAGGUCGCAGGUUCAAAUCCAACUCUGUCUACUUCU